RNAcentral lists this ribosomal RNA (462 nucleotides) under uncultured bacterium. RNAcentral describes it as "partial 16S ribosomal RNA". It matches the Rfam family "Bacterial small subunit ribosomal RNA", at positions 28 to 507 of the family's 1533-position model. The record is from RNAcentral.
GACGAACGCUGGCGGCGUGCUUAACACAUGCAAGUCGAGCGGAAAGGCCCUUCGGGGUACUCGAGCGGCGAACGGGUGAGUAACACGUGAGUAACCUGCCCCAGACUUUGGGAUAACCCUCGGAAACGGGGGCUAAUACCGGAUACGACACAGCUUCGCAUGGGGUCUGUGUGGAAAGUUUUUCGGUUUGGGAUGGGCUCGCGGCCUAUCAGCUUGUUGGUGGGGUGAUGGCCUACCAAGGCGACGACGGGUAGCCGGCCUGAGAGGGCGACCGGCCACACUGGGACUGAGACACGGCCCAGACUCCUACGGGAGGCAGCAGUGGGGAAUAUUGCACAAUGGGCGGAAGCCUGAUGCAGCGACGCCGCGUGAGGGAUGACGGCCUUCGGGUUGUAAACCUCUUCCAGCAGGGACGAAGCGUAAGUGACGGUACCUGCAGAAGAAGCGCCGGCCAACUACGUG